This is an RNA transcript of Bicyclus anynana (squinting bush brown), 816 nucleotides long. It is a transcript of the gene named transcription factor SUM-1, with no coding region annotated. Lineage: Eukaryota; Metazoa; Arthropoda; Insecta; Lepidoptera; Nymphalidae. The transcript is spliced from 4 exons. The record is from RefSeq and is a predicted model, not a curated record.
AAAAUCAGUAUGGCGCGAAUCGUUGCGCGCGGCGCUCGGGGUUUAAAAAAACAACUGUCAAUGUCAAAAUGAGCUAUAGUGUCUAUGAUUGCGGAUUCGAUUUUCAAAAAGUGAACGACAAAGAGUGCUUUGAUGGAAUGAAAAAGGAAAAGAAUGACAGUGAGGCAAAGGAAGAACACAUUCAGCAUGUGCUAGGACCCAGUAGGCGGUGCUUAGCGUGGGCUUGCAAAGCCUGCAAAAGGAAAACUGCGGCCGUGGACAGAAGAAAAGCGGCGACGUUGCGCGAAAGGCGGAGAUUACGAAAAGUAAACGCAGCAUUCGAAGAGCUCCGGAUACGGGCUCGCGCCGGCAGCGGGCGGCUGCCCAAGCUGGAGAUCCUCCGCGCCGCCAUACAACACAUAGAGAGACUGCAAGCUGCCCUCAGAGCUGCCGCCGCGGUACGUGCUAGCUAUAGAUACGAGCGCGCGCCGGCAGCGGGCGGCUGCCCAAGCUGGAGAUCCUCCGCGCCGCCAUACAACACAUAGAGAGACUGCAAGCUGCCCUCAGAGCUGCCGCCGCGUUGGAGUCUGACAGUUGCAAGAGCUACGUGGAGCCGCCGCCGACAAAACCGCAGAGCGACUUGCGAGACACAAGGACAGACAGAGAGAAACCAUUUGUGAACGGUGAAUCUACGUCCUGUGGACUCAACAGUCUAGCUCGCUUGCGGUGUAUAGUGCAAGCAUUGGCGAAGGACGCCCCCUAGCUCGCUGUAGCUACCUAGAUAGAUCUCACAAUUUAGGUUACUCGUGCUCAAUUAUAAUUAAUAUUUAUUUAUAA